AGAGUUUGAUCAUGGCUCAGAUUGAACGCUGGCGGCAUGCCUUACACAUGCAAGUCGAGCGGCAGCGCGGGGGCAACCCUGGCGGCGAGCGGCGAACGGGUGAGUAAUGCAUCGGAACGUGUCCUCUUGUGGGGGAUAACCAGUCGAAAGACUGGCUAAUACCGCAUGAGCUCGAGAGAGGAAAGCAGGGGACCCGAGGGCAACUUCGGGCCUUGCGCGAGAGGAGCGGCCGAUGCCGGAUUAGCUAGUUGGUGGGGUAAUGGCCCACCAAGGCGACGAUCCGUAGCUGGUCUGAGAGGACGACCAGCCACACUGGGACUGAGACACGGCCCAGACUCCUACGGGAGGCAGCAGUGGGGAAUUUUGGACAAUGGGGGCAACCCUGAUCCAGCCAUGCCGCGUGUGUGAAGAAGGCCUUCGGGUUGUAAAGCACUUUCGGCCGGAACGAAAUCGCGCGGGCUAACACCCCGCGUGGAUGACGGUACCGGAAGAAGAAGCACCGGCUAACUACGUGCCAGCAGCCGCGGUAAUACGUAGGGUGCGAGCGUUAAUCGGAAUUACUGGGCGUAAAGUGUGCGCAGGUGGCCGCGCAAGUCGAGUGUGAAAGCCCCGGGCUUAACUUGGGAAUUGCGCUCGAAACUACGUGGCUAGAGUGUGGCAGAGGGAGGUGGAAUUCCACGUGUAGCGGUGAAAUGCGUAGAGA
Molecule: ribosomal RNA, 703 nt
Filed under: uncultured bacterium
Lineage: Bacteria
Description: bacterial SSU rRNA
Rfam family: Bacterial small subunit ribosomal RNA
Source: RNAcentral